UAUCCGCCGGAGAAUUAUGAGCGCUAGCUUAAAACCCAAAAGACUUGGCGGUGCUUAAGAUCCCCCUAGAGGAGUCUGUUCUUUAAUCGAUUACCCCCGUUAAACCUCACCCUUUUUUGUUCUUACCGCCUAUAUACCGCCGUCGUCAGCUGACCCUGUGAAGGACUAAUAGUUGUCAUAAUUAGUAUAACCCAAAACGUCAGGUCAAGGUGUAGCAUAUGAGAGGGCAAGAAAUGGACUACACUUUCUACAACAGAACACACGAAAAAUGUACUUAAAAAUACGCUAGAAGGAGGAUUUAGCAGUAAGGGCAGAAUAGAGAGCUCCCCUGAAACUGGUUCUAAAGCGCGCACACACCGCCCG
Molecule: ribosomal RNA, 363 nt
Filed under: Parvicrepis sp. KWC-2020
Lineage: Eukaryota; Metazoa; Chordata; Actinopteri; Blenniiformes; Gobiesocidae
Description: partial small subunit ribosomal RNA
Rfam family: Bacterial small subunit ribosomal RNA
Source: RNAcentral